RNAcentral lists this long non-coding RNA (224 nucleotides) under Panax ginseng (ginseng). RNAcentral's name for it is "long non-coding RNA (PGIN_LNC012983)". Lineage: Eukaryota; Viridiplantae; Streptophyta; Magnoliopsida; Apiales; Araliaceae. The record is from RNAcentral.
UUAGUUAGAAUUGAAAUCACACCAGAAAUUCAGAAAAUUCUCUUCUAUAAUCUUGAGCGUAUUUCUUUAGAGUUUUAAGAAGCUUUGAGCGUAGUACAAGUUUUCUUCAAGUAUAUCUCCGCCCUACCCGUCGGAGUACUCUUCUUUAUAAGGUAAAGGAUAUUAUUUGUUGUACUCGUAAGGGGUAUUAUUUCUUUUGUAUUCAUGAAGAGAACUUCUGUUAU